RNAcentral lists this long non-coding RNA (620 nucleotides) under Numida meleagris (helmeted guineafowl). RNAcentral describes it as "lncRNA (ENSNMEG00000014720.1)". Lineage: Eukaryota; Metazoa; Chordata; Aves; Galliformes; Numididae. The record is from RNAcentral.
CUUGAAGCUGAAAAGAGGAGGAGGAAGGGCAGAUUAAAAAUAAAACAUGCACUGUUCCUUGUGGUGGCAGCAACUUAGGGCAGGUGGGCCCUUCGAACUUGGGAUGCUCUGCAUGGUCCAGCAGCCACAUUGGGUGGAGCUGUGUGCAGCCAUGGGAACGCACAGAACACCUCAUCUCCUGCUGCCACUGCUUCAGGUUGCUGGCCACAUUUAUGAGGGGGAGUUUCUCAGCUCUGUUCUUCCAUUCAGCCACCCCUCCUCUGUCUGCCCCACAUGUGAUGCAGCCCAGCUCCAGCUGAAUGGCUGGAGGGGAUGGUGAUGCCACUUGUUACUGUGAAGUGACGUCAGCUCAGGUAGGUUUCCAGUCUCAGACAGGAAAGACCAAGAUCACUGCACCAAGCAGAUGAGAAGAAAAAGAUUAAUAACAUCGCUCUCCAGGAAAAACUUCAUCUUCCUGUCCUCAUCUUGCCCUAUGGAGCAUGUUAUCAACUCAAGUAACUCCCAAUAGGAGAGAAAGCAAGUUCACACCCAGCUCUCUGCAGCCCCAGGCUGGAAGAUAGCUCUGCUCAUAGAAUCACUGAAAAGGCAGCAGAAAUAAAUUUCCCUCCCUGAGCUUUUCA